CCAAUAGCGUAUAUUAAAGUUGUUGCAGUUAAAAAGCUCGUAGUUGAAUUUCGAGAUCAAUUUGUUGGUCGUGCCUCGGUACGUACUGGCAAUUUUGGUUUCUCCCUUCUGAAGAACCAUGAUGUCAUUAAUUUGGUGUCAUGGGGAAUCAGGACCGUUACUUUGAAAAAAUUAGAGUGUUUAAAGCGGGCUCGCGCUUGAAUACAUUAGCAUGGAAUAAUGAAAUAGGACGUUUGAUUCUAUUUUGUUGGUUUCUAGGAUCGACGUAAUGAUUAAUAG
This 279-nucleotide ribosomal RNA is filed under the name uncultured Glomus. RNAcentral's name for it is "partial 18S small subunit ribosomal RNA". It matches the Rfam family "Eukaryotic small subunit ribosomal RNA", at positions 591 to 875 of the family's 1831-position model. Lineage: Eukaryota; Fungi; Glomeromycota; Glomeromycetes; Glomerales; Glomeraceae. The record is from RNAcentral.